GAUGAACGCUGGCGGCGUGCCUAACACAUGCAAGUCGAACGAAGCACCUUGAUUUCCUCGGAUUGAUAGGUGACUGAGUGGCGGACGGGUGAGUAACGCGUGAGUAACCUGCCUUCAAGAGGGGGAUAACACAGAGAAAUUUGUGCUAAUACCGCAUGACACCGUAGUGUCGCAUGACACAUCGGUCAAAGAUUUAUCGCUUGAAGAUGGACUCGCGUCUGAUUAGCUAGUUGGUGAGGUAACGGCCCACCAAGGCGACGAUCAGUAGCCGGCCUGAGAGGGUGAACGGCCACAUUGGGACUGAGACACGGCCCAGACUCCUACGGGAGGCAGCAGUGGGGAAUAUUGCGCAAUGGGGGAAACCCUGACGCCAGGCAACGCCGCGUGAAGGAUGAA
Molecule: ribosomal RNA, 396 nt
Filed under: uncultured bacterium
Lineage: Bacteria
Description: bacterial SSU rRNA
Rfam family: Bacterial small subunit ribosomal RNA
Source: RNAcentral